RNAcentral lists this ribosomal RNA (107 nucleotides) under uncultured bacterium. RNAcentral's name for it is "partial 16S ribosomal RNA". It matches the Rfam family "Bacterial small subunit ribosomal RNA", at positions 1378 to 1482 of the family's 1533-position model. The record is from RNAcentral.
CCCUUGUACACACCGCCCGUCACGCCAUGGGAGUUGGUUUUACCUGAAGGCGGUGCGCUAACCCGCAAGGGAGGCAGCCGACCACGGUAGGGUCAGCGACUGGGGUG